GACGAACGCUGGCGGCGUGCCUAAUACAUGCAAGUUGAGCGCUGAAGGUUGGUACUUGUACCAACUGGAUGAGCAGCGAACGGGUGAGUAACGCGUGGGGAAUCCGCCUUUGAGCGGGGGACAACAUUUGGAAACGAAUGCUAAUACCGCAUAAAAACUUUAAACACAAGUUUUAAGUUUGAAAGAUGCAAUUGCAUCACUCAAAGAUGAUCCCGCGUUGUAUUAGCUAGUUGGUGAGGUAAAGGCUCACCAAGGCGAUGAUACAUAGCCGACCUGAGAGGGUGAUCGGCCACAUUGGGACUGAGACACGGCCCAAACUCCUACGGGAGGCAGCAGUAGGGAAUCUUCGGCAAUGGACGAAAGUCUGACCGAGCAACGCCGCGUGAGUGAAGAAGGUUGUCGGAUCGUAAAACUCUGUUGGUAGAGAAGAACGUUGGUGAGAGUGGAAAGCUCAUCAAGUGACGGUAACUACCCAGAAAGGGACGGCUAACUACGUG
This 497-nucleotide ribosomal RNA is filed under the name uncultured bacterium. RNAcentral describes it as "partial 16S ribosomal RNA". It matches the Rfam family "Bacterial small subunit ribosomal RNA", at positions 28 to 507 of the family's 1533-position model. The record is from RNAcentral.